UACGGAAGGCAGCAGUGGGGAAUAUUGCACAAUGGGCGCAAGCCUGAUGCAGCCAUGCCGCGUGUAUGAAGAAGGCCUUCGGGUUGUAAAGUACUUUCAGUCGUGAGGAAGGUGUUAAGGUUAAUAACCUUAGCAAUUGACGUUAGCGACAGAAGAAGCACCGGCUAACUCCGUGCCAGCAGCCGCGGUAAUACGGAGGGUGCGAGCGUUAAUCGGAAUUACUGGGCGUAAAGGGCACGCAGGCGGUUAAUUAAGUUGGAUGUGAAAUCCCCGGGCUUACCUGGGAAUGGCAUUCAAGACUGGUUAGCUAGAGUCUUGUAGAGGGGGUAGAAUUCCAUGUGUAGCGGUGAAAUGCGUAGAGAUGUGGAGGAAUACCGGUGGCGAAGGCGGCCCCUGGACAAAGGACUGACGCUCAUGUGCGAAAGCGUGGGGAGCAAAC
Molecule: ribosomal RNA, 439 nt
Filed under: uncultured bacterium
Lineage: Bacteria
Description: bacterial SSU rRNA
Rfam family: Bacterial small subunit ribosomal RNA
Source: RNAcentral